GAGACCUUGAAAUGUAGCUAGUGUGACUGUGUUGGGAGUUCAGCUCUAAGAUCCCGCUACCUCUUUUUUAUGAUACCAUUUUCUUUAUGUUUCUCUACACAGUCUUUCCUCUGGUCUGUUGUUUUCAAGUUUUUUUAUGUAUGAAAAUAGAAAACUCAAAGAUAGAUCUUUUAUUAGGUUUUUGUUUGGCAAAGUGUCAACGUGUUUAUAACAUAAUGGUAAAGGAAACUUUUUAGAUAAUUAGUUUGGAGAAGCGAGGACAAACCAAAAGGCUGCCCUGGCUGCAGAGGGUAGGGAGGUGAGUCGUGAGUCCUCGGAGGGCCCGGGCAGUACUUGAGCAGACGAGGUUUGCCCACAGCCACAGCUCCUCCAAGGUGCUGUGCAGACAGCCCCUGCCGCGCCUCUGCUUCUGCCUGGAGGGGGAGCAGAGAGGUCCAAGCAUCUGGAGGACGCUGCAUCUGCCCAACUAGCGGGAAAUGCCAGGAAUUAGGUAUCUUGCUGUGAAAUCAGUGUGACCUCAAACAGCUCACUUCUCCUCUUUGAACGUCGAUUUCUUCUCAGGACAGAUAAGGGCGUUAGACUCAAAGAUCUCCUGGGUCCCUCCAGCCCGAGAGUUCUGUGACUCUCACUUGAUGCUCUCGGAGCACUGACUCCGCCCACUCCCUCCUGGACUUUCCUCACCCGCCUGUCAUCAUCCACGCUCUCCUGGUGCUCCUACCCUUCCUCCUCGUCCUGCCUCCUUCUCUUGGUCUUCCUCCCAGGCUCUUCUUAAAUGUUGGAAUCCCCCAGGCUUUAUCCUUGGACCUCUGAUGCUGGAACUGCCUGCUCCUCCUAGCUGUAGCAGCUGCCUGCCUGCUAAUGACACCCAGAUCAGCCUGUCUCUGCCCCGGCUUCUCUGCUCCUGGCCUCUGGGGAGCAUAUCAAAUGGCUACUGGAUGUUGGUACAUGGACAUCCACGGGCACAUCCAACUUCCCGUGUCCAACGGGACUCCUCUCCUCCAUCAGCCCAGAUGCUGUCCUUUUCCUAGUUUCCUUAUUUAAGUGAAAAGCACCAGCACUUAUUUAAAUCUCCAAAUAACUCUGAGAGGCGUUACUUUCCCAUCACAUAGAAUCUGUGUGCUAGAGAUGAAAAAACUGAAGCUUAGCGAAGUUCAGGAACACAUCUAAGGCUACACAGCUGGUGAGUGGUGGAGUCCGGAUUUAAACUCAGUAUCUCUGACUCCGAGGCUAGAGCUCUCC
Molecule: long non-coding RNA, 1239 nt
Filed under: Equus asinus (donkey)
Lineage: Eukaryota; Metazoa; Chordata; Mammalia; Perissodactyla; Equidae
Description: lncRNA (ENSEASG00005030707.1)
Source: RNAcentral